AGACCCAUGGUGUAAUGGUAACACAGCAGAUUUUGGUUCUGUCGUUCUAGGUUCGAGUCCUAGUGGGUCUA
Molecule: transfer RNA, 71 nt
Filed under: Saprospiraceae bacterium
Lineage: Bacteria; Pseudomonadati; Bacteroidota; Saprospiria; Saprospirales; Saprospiraceae
Also listed under: 1 other name
Description: tRNA-Gln
Rfam family: tRNA
About the family: Transfer RNA (tRNA) molecules are approximately 80 nucleotides in length.
Source: RNAcentral